GCUGCUGCCACCCCAGUCUCACAAUCUAUAAGUAACCUUUGCAAAUACACAAGCAGCUCCAAGGGGCCAGAGAAUUCACUGUGCCCUGCGGUGAUCAUUAAAUUUGCACCUCCUACCAGAGCAGUUGGGUAGGGAGUGGAGGAAUCAGGAACUCAGAAGAAAAUGGGGGUGGGGCGAGGCACCGCUGUCCUGACCGGCCCCGGCAAAGGGAAAAGCCACUUGCAGUCUUGCUCAGGCCCCUGCCCUGCUGCCCUGACCACCAAUGGAGGGGGUAUAUGGCCGCCCACACUCACUCUGGUGUCCUUCCUGGCCUGUGAUUUAGUCAGCGGAUUUAUUGAACACUUAAGCUGCCCACGGCUGCUUCACCCCUGGCUCAUCACUUUGCUUCCCUGUAGCCAUUUUCUCCAUGUGAAAAUGAGGUAACUUCAUAAGCAGGCUGCAAGUCACACCUGGAUCCUCCAUCACCGUGACCUGUCAACACUCAGAUGUGGCUUGGUUGGACACAUUUUCCAGGUGUCACAAGGCAAUUCAACACAUGGCAGAUCAGCCGUCGCUCUGUGGCCCCAGCAACCAAAUGAUAGCUGGUGGAUGACAAAGCAAGCUGCUCACCUCCCCCAACCCCCAUGGAAGGAGUUUCUGAGGGAGCUAACAGGAACUCUGAAGCCAGCCAGGAGAGGCUUCUGACCUGCUUAGCUUAGCUUGCUCCUCAGAGAAGUCUCCAUGUGUGGUGAUUAUGUGGACAGUGAGUGAGGACCACAGUCGUCCUUGGAGAGUGACAGGGCAGCCUUUGUCCCUCAGGAGGGAGCAGCCCACACCCAUCAUCCCAUGCUCUCAUCUGAUGCCACACUGAGGAGCUGGGCCAGUCUGGAGGAGAAGGGAUGUUGGAGCCUUCCAUCAAGGGAGGAGUAGGAACUGGGGGGAGGCCUCUUUCAGACAGAACCUGCCCUUGGGUCUGGGUCUCAUCUCACCCUGUGGCUGCCUCUUCAGCUGAGCUGCCACGGAAGGUUUUCUGGAGUUGGCCAGCAAGGUGUAUGAGGGUCUAGGCAGGCCCUGACAGCUUUGGCACCUGUUUGAUAUUUCCUGAGUUGAUGGUGGCAUAUCUGGUGUGAGCCCAGCCCCUGGGGUGCAACUGUGUCUCCAGGUUCCUGCUAGUCCCUCUGUGGCUUCACUGGGGUGUCAGGCCCCUCACCUCCCCUGCCCCAGACCCUGCCUCCAGAACAACCCCAUUAUGAACACAGCUAGGACCCUUCCUCCCUGUUGCUUUUCCAGUGGGGCCUCUUUUCUCCCUAAAGCACAUGCGAGAGAGCCAUAUCGACCGCCUCUCUAGGUUACCAUGGAAACAGAGCUUUUUCUUUCCUCCCUCCUGUUUACCUUGGUCAGGGGACUGCGGCAGAAAGCAGCCUGUCGCUGAACGAGA
Cricetulus griseus (Chinese hamster) is the source of this 1417-nucleotide non-coding RNA. The record is from RefSeq and is a predicted model, not a curated record. NCBI's taxonomy places the organism in Eukaryota, Metazoa, Chordata, Mammalia, Rodentia, Cricetidae.